This 506-nucleotide ribosomal RNA is filed under the name uncultured bacterium. RNAcentral's name for it is "partial 16S ribosomal RNA". It matches the Rfam family "Bacterial small subunit ribosomal RNA", at positions 28 to 523 of the family's 1533-position model. The record is from RNAcentral.
GAUGAACGCUAGCUACAGGCUUAACACAUGCAAGUCGAGGGGUAACGAGAGGAAAGCUUGCUUUCCUUGUCGACGACCGGCGCACGGGUGAGUAACGCGUAUCCAACCUGCCCCCAACUAGGGAAUAACCUUGCGAAAGUAAGACUAAUACCCCAUAAUUUCCUCAGAUGUCAUCUGACGAGGAAUAAAGAUUUAUCGGUUGUGGAUGGGGAUGCGUCUGAUUAGCUUGUUGGCGGGGUAACGGACCACCAAGGCAACGAUCAGUAGGGGUUCUGAGAGGAAGGUCCCCCACAUUGGAACUGAGACACGGUCCAAACUCCUACGGGAGGAAGCAGUGAGGAAUAUUGGUCAAUGGGCGGAAGCCUGAACCAGCCAAGUAGCGUGCAGGAUGACGGCCCUAUGGGUUGUAAACUGCUUUUAUACAGGAAUAAAGUUAGCCACGUGUGGUUAUUUGUAGGUACUGUAUGAAUAAGGACCGGCUAAUUCCGUGCCAGCCGCCGCCGUAA